UGGGGAACCUGCCCCAUAGUCUGGGAUACCACUUGGAAACAGGUGCUAAUACCGGAUAAGAAAGCGGAUCGCAUGAUCAGCUUUUAAAAGGCGGCGUAAGCUGUCGCUAUGGGAUGGCCCCGCGGUGCAUUAGCUAGUUGGUAAGGUAAAGGCUUACCAAGGCGAUGAUGCAUAGCCGAGUUGAGAGACUGAUCGGCCACAUUGGGACUGAGACACGGCCCAAACUCCUACGGGAGGCAGCAGUC
This 245-nucleotide ribosomal RNA is filed under the name uncultured Lactobacillus sp. Its description in RNAcentral is "partial 16S ribosomal RNA". It matches the Rfam family "Bacterial small subunit ribosomal RNA", at positions 118 to 355 of the family's 1533-position model. Lineage: Bacteria; Bacillati; Bacillota; Bacilli; Lactobacillales; Lactobacillaceae. The record is from RNAcentral.